RNAcentral lists this ribosomal RNA (1243 nucleotides) under metagenome. RNAcentral's name for it is "bacterial LSU rRNA". It matches the Rfam family "Bacterial large subunit ribosomal RNA", at positions 1564 to 2815 of the family's 2925-position model. The record is from RNAcentral.
UGAAUACGAGACGCUAAGGCGUCGAAGUAGUGUAUGUCAUACUUCCAAGAAAAGCUUGCACUGUCAUAAGUAAAAAAUGCCUGUACCAUAACCGACACAGGUGGGUAGGUAGAGUAUACUAAGGGGCGCGAGAUAACUCUCUCUAAGGAACUCGGCAAAAUAACUCCGUAACUUCGGGAGAAGGAGUACCUUAUUCUAUAAGGUUGCAAUAACAAGAUCCAAGCAACUGUUUAUCAAAAACACAGGUCUCCGCUAAGUCGUAAGACGAUGUAUGGGGGCUGACGCCUGCCCAGUGCCAGAAGGUUAAAGAAGUCGGUUAGCAUUAGCGAAGCUGGUAACUGAAGCCCUGGUGAACGGCGGCCGUAACAAUAACGGUCCUAAGGUAGCGAAAUUCCUUGUCGGGUAAGUUCCGACCCGCACGAAAGGCGUAAUGAUUUGGAUACUGUCUCGGAGAGGGGCUCGGUGAAAUAGACUUGUCUGUGAAGAUGCGGACUACCUGCACCAGGACAGAAAGACCCUAUGAAGCUUUACUGUAACUUGAAAUUGAAAUUGGACUUUAUUCGCGCAGUAUAGGUGGGAGGUGUUGAUUAUAAUCUUGCGGGAUUAUUGGAGCCAUCAGUGAGAUACCACUCUUGUAAUGUUAGAUUUCUAACUUUGAAUCAUUAUCUGGUCAAAGGACAGUUUCAGGCGGGCAGUUUGACUGGGGCGGUCGCCUCCCAAACGGUAACGGAGGCGUACAAAGGUUUCCUCUGAACGGGUAGAAAUCGUAUCUAGAGUGUAAAGGCAUAAGGAAGCUUGACUGUGAGACCUACAAGUCGAACAGGGACGAAAGUCGGUCUUAGUGAUCUGACGGUACUGAGUGGAAAGGCCGUCACUCAACGGAUAAAAGUUACUCUAAGGAUAACAGGCUGAUCUCCCCCAAGAGUUCACAUCGACGGGGAGGUUUGGCACCUCGAUGUCGGCUCAUCGCAUCCUGGGGCGGUAGUACGUCCCAAGGGUUGGGCUGUUCGCCCAUGAAAGCGGUACGCGAGCUGGGUUCAGAACGUCGUGAGACAGUUCGGUCCAUAUCCGGUGUAGGCGUUAGAAUAUUGAGAGGAGCCUUCUUUAGUACGAGAGGACCGAGAAGGACAUACCUCUGGUGUACCAGUUAUCGUGCCAACGGUAAACGCUGGGUAGCUAUGUAUGGAGUGGAUAACCGCUGAAAGCAUCUAAGUGGGAAGCCCACCUCAAGAUAAGUAUUCUC